UAGAUCGCUGGUCCAAUGGUAGGACGCUGGUCUCCGAAGCCGGAAGUAGUAGUUCGAUCCUGCUGCGAUCUGUC
RNAcentral lists this transfer RNA (74 nucleotides) under candidate division SR1 bacterium Aalborg_AAW-1. RNAcentral's name for it is "tRNA-Arg". It matches the Rfam family "tRNA". Rfam says of the family: Transfer RNA (tRNA) molecules are approximately 80 nucleotides in length. Their secondary structure includes four short double-helical elements and three loops (D, anti-codon, and T loops). The record is from RNAcentral. Lineage: Bacteria; Candidatus Absconditibacteriota.